Long non-coding RNA from Pundamilia nyererei, 681 nucleotides. RefSeq lists it as uncharacterized. The record is from RefSeq and is a predicted model, not a curated record. The transcript has 2 exons. Lineage: Eukaryota; Metazoa; Chordata; Actinopteri; Cichliformes; Cichlidae.
UGCGCGCCUCCUGUUUCAAUUGCCUUUCCUCCACCGAGCGCAGCAGUUUCCCAUCACAUCAGCAUGAAGAAGCUAAGCAUCGUUUUCGUCGCAGUCCUGCUGCUGGCUCUCAAUCUCACCUCCCAGGCGGCCGAGGCACAAGGUAAAAGCGGAACCGGAGGCACCAACACCCAGAACUCGACUACAGCCGCACCGACGAGCGCCAGCGGGAGUCCCGCCGCCUUCACGCUGCUCGUCGCUCCGCUGCUUCUGUCCACGGUUCUCCUGCACGGCUGGUCCGGAUGAUCUGAUCCGCGCUGGACAUUCGGAAGCCGGCAGGGGACACAACGUUAGUGUUUAAUAAAAGGCAGAAAAAGGAAAUCACAUAAAGUAGGGAGCUUAACUAUUUACUGUUGAGCGGGCGAAACGAGCGCGACGCGGCCCGGGGCGCGACGGGGCCCGGGGCGCGCCCUGCUCCUUUCCGCAUCCUGCUCUUCAUCAACUCUGAAACGCAACCAAUCCUCCCGCCAGUAACGGAACAUGCUCGCUGAUAAUUCAGAAAUAUUGAACCCUGUGGAAAACAUGUGUAUUCAUGUGUCUGACAACGACUGUAUGUAAAUGAGUUCUGUACUUUCAGAAUGAUGCAAAUCUGAUGUUUGACAUGUGAAUGCUGUGAAAUUAAACUUUAAAUUGUAAAAAAUA